GGAGGAGUCGCAUAGCCUGGCCUAGUGCGCGCGACUGGAAAUCGCGUUGGCGGAUACCACCGCCUCGAGGGUUCGAAUCCCUCCUCCUCCG
Molecule: transfer RNA, 91 nt
Filed under: Bacillota bacterium
Lineage: Bacteria; Bacillati; Bacillota
Description: tRNA-Ser
Rfam family: tRNA
About the family: Transfer RNA (tRNA) molecules are approximately 80 nucleotides in length. Their secondary structure includes four short double-helical elements and three loops (D, anti-codon, and T loops).
Source: RNAcentral